UGGGGAAUUUUGGGCAAUGGGCGAAAGCCUGAUCCAGCAAUGCCGCGUGUGUGAAGAAGGCCUUCGGGUUGUAAAGCACUUUUGUCCGGAAAGAAAUCCUUGGCUCUAAUACAGUCGGGGGAUGACGGUACCGGAAGAAUAAGCACCGGCUAACUACGUGCCAGCAGCCGCGGUAAUACGUAGGGUGCAAGCGUUAAUCGGAAUUACUGGGCGUAAAGCGUGCGCAGGCGGUUUGCUAAGACCGAUGUGAAAUCCCCGGGCUCAACCUGGGAACUGCAUUGGUGACUGGCAGGCUAGAGUAUGGCAGAGGGGGGUAGAAUUCCACGUGUAGCAGUGAAAUGCGUAGAGAUGUGGAGGAAUACCGAUGGCGAAGGCAGCCCCCUGGGCCAAUACUGACGCUCAUGCACGAAAGCGUGGGGAGCAAACAGGAUUAGAUACCCUGGUAGUCCACGCCCUAAACGAUGUCAACUGGUUGUUGGGGAUUCAUUUCCCUAGUAACGUAGCUAACGCGUGAAGUUGACCGCCUGGGGAGUACGGUCGCAAGAUUAAAACUUAAAUGAAUUGACGGGGUCAUAGCUGUUUCCU
RNAcentral lists this ribosomal RNA (585 nucleotides) under uncultured bacterium. RNAcentral describes it as "partial 16S ribosomal RNA". It matches the Rfam family "Bacterial small subunit ribosomal RNA", at positions 355 to 1375 of the family's 1533-position model. The record is from RNAcentral.